Molecule: long non-coding RNA, 306 nt
Filed under: Capsicum annuum
Lineage: Eukaryota; Viridiplantae; Streptophyta; Magnoliopsida; Solanales; Solanaceae
Description: long non-coding RNA (CANN_LNC007241)
Source: RNAcentral
GAGUGGGAGGUAUAGUGGGUUUGGUACUUCCCUAGACCUAUGUACCCUCGUAGGAGCCAGAAUUGAGGCUGAUUUUCAUAGUGAUCUCUAGUGUUUGGAUUGAUAAUUUAAGGUCCUACUCUGAUGGCAAGGAAUAGGGAGACUUUUCUCAACGUGGGUAGAACGUUGGACUCCAUGUAGUUCACAUAGUUUAUGUCGGUUAUAAGAGACUCCCAAUGUGUGUGUCUAUACUAUUCUAUCUAAGAGGAAUAUAUUGUUUUGAAGAAUUUGUCAUGAUAAAGUUAUUAUUUUUCGAAAGAUUGAAAU